GAAAAAUCUAUCAAACUAUGUCUCAAUGUUUCUCAAAAUUACUGUAGCUGGCUAAUACAUGUUAUCAUGCUUUGUGAUACACCCAGUUUUAUGCAGUUGAAGUCCAAACAACAUGUCGCCCUGUGACCUACAGUAGAUCCUGAUAUACAACAUGGGGGGAACAAUAAAAUUGGCCAUGCUUUUUUGUUCUACCAGAUCUGCGAUGAGAAGGUUCUAGCUAGUGGAUCCCUCUGUCCUUCGACUCUUAUUGUAUGCAGUUGUCCAGUUUAUCAGGUCCCAGCCUCCCGUGACAGUUAUGAUUAUUUAUUUACAAGUUAAUUAACAUUUGCUUUAGCACCAUCUGUACCUGAUAGAGCAGAUCUAGUCCCACGUGCGAGAGAUUCAUCACUGGGAGGAAGACUAGAGCAGACCCAGAAGUUGUGACUGAAUGGAUGCACAUUUGAGGGCCCCAGGAUGGUCCAUUUACUUUGUGUUGUUAUAAUUUAUGCUAUGAAAUCCUACGAAUCCUACGAUAAAUCAUUAAAAUCCAGACUGAAAAUAUUUACACAAGAAGCAACCUAAUAUCACACAGUCAACCUCUCAGUCAUUUAGUAAGUUCACCAUUCUGCCAUUCCCACUGUUAAACAUUGCACAGUGCACUACGAUUUCAUUGGGGAAGUUCCUCCUCAUAGCAAAUAGCUGGCAAAACAUUCCAAGCAAUGUCUACACCACCUAUGUGCCCAUGGAGACGGAGCUGCUGCUUCUGCUGCUGCUGGCAGUCACUGAGGGGCAAAGUAGUACUUCAAUAAAGGAAGCAGCAUGACAACUGGAGGCUGACUAGAAGGGAGGAACGAUCAGAGUGGUUAACUAUAGAUUCUCAGAGAGUAGGCUAUUGUCCAGUCUCAGACCACAUAAAAGACCACAUACCAUAUGUAUCCUCCAGAAACCUGUUACUUUUUAGCCUACUGUGCUUUAAGAGGCUAGCAUCAAAGUGAAAGUCAUACAGAGUAUUUUCAAAGGGAAGAGCCAGGACAGCUAGCAACAUAACAUGGAGCUGCCAGGAGCAGAAGGAUUGGUGAGCGAUCAGAUAGGGCAGAAUUGAUGACCUGGCUCAGGAUGGAUUUCUGGGAGAGCGGGCUGCCAGAGCGAGGUAAUACUUUCAGACUCUUAUCGGCACUGGCAUAAGCUGAGUGCUGCAUCACCCACUUCCCAGCGUCAGCUUAUUAUGAGAGGCCAUGAUGUGAUUGCCUUGUACUGCUUUUUUGUGUUCCAGCAGGGUCUGUGUGUGUGCUGGGCUGGCUGGACAGAGUGGGCUGGUGCUUGUGGAGAUGGCCUCAUGUCACUCAUUACAAACUCCAUGGAGUUCCCAGCUAUCAAUAUAGAAUGCAUUUUUUUUGCAAGCAGAAAUCCAAUUACGGAUAGUCUAGAAGCUGUUAGGGUCAGGAAUAAAAGUUCAAAAAGACAGAGUUAGUUAUUUAAUUUCCAUCUUUGUUGUGGAUGAUACAUGUAAUAAGAUGUCUUAAUUAAAGCAUUGCUGAGAUGGGAAAAGUUAACAGUGUUCU
Molecule: long non-coding RNA, 1541 nt
Filed under: Salmo salar (Atlantic salmon)
Lineage: Eukaryota; Metazoa; Chordata; Actinopteri; Salmoniformes; Salmonidae
Description: lncRNA (ENSSSAG00000088074.1)
Source: RNAcentral